Molecule: ribosomal RNA, 253 nt
Filed under: uncultured bacterium
Lineage: Bacteria
Description: partial 16S ribosomal RNA
Rfam family: Bacterial small subunit ribosomal RNA
Source: RNAcentral
UACGAAGGGGGCUAGCGUUGCUCGGAAUCACUGGGCGUAAAGCGCACGUAGGCGGAUUGCUAAGUCUGGGGUGAAAUCCUGGAGCUCAACUCCAGAACUGCCUUUGAUACUGGCGAUCUCGAGUCCGGGAGAGGUGAGUGGAACUGCGAGUGUAGAGGUGAAAUUCGUAGAUAUUCGCAGGAACACCAGUGGCGAAGGCGGCUCACUGGCCCGGUACUGACGCUGAGGUGCGAAAGCGUGGGGAGCAAACAGG